Molecule: long non-coding RNA, 744 nt
Organism: Myotis brandtii (Brandt's bat)
Lineage: Eukaryota; Metazoa; Chordata; Mammalia; Chiroptera; Vespertilionidae
Exons: 4
Source: RefSeq, a predicted model, not a curated record
UGGUUGUGGUAGUUAUUCUACCAGCUGGUAGUCUGAGAAUCCCAAUAUGCAACUCCAUGUAGAGAGGCUGGAGAAUUGUGCAGAGACUAGCAAGUGGCAACAGUGCAGAAUACAAGUUGAAGAUGAUAAUGACACUAAAGUCAAGGGGCCUGGAUCUCCCAGUCAUCACUUGGAGGAGCAUGAAGCAAUCCAUAUUGAUCUUUCACAUCUCUGUUUGGACCCGCAACCUCUGAAGUACUUCACAGUUAUUUAAGAUUUUGAGACUGUGAUUGACUGUCAGUAACUGCAAUGACAGAAAGGAAACCACGCAUCAGGGGGUCUACUGUACUUGGUUCAGCUGCUGGACAACUUUUAUGUACGUUCGGAACCACUUGGAUGUCACAAUAUUCAUAUAAUUAUGACCACCAGGCACACCUUCACAUUGGCAAUGGAGGGAAUCCCCUUGGAAGUCAGAGCCAUCCUUGAAACUCACCCAUCAGGCCCUUACACCAGCAGACCAGAGACCGAGGCCUGGACGACAGUCACCACCCAGCUGCCCUAUCCCUGGCUCUCACUUGGACUCUCCAGACAAGAGAUUCUUAUCUAUCAAAGGGACUACAUUUGAUGAGACAAACACUGGGUUAGAUGCAUGGGGGACUCAAAAUGCAAGAGUAUAAAGUUGAGAACAGCUCUGUGCUUAUAGUUCUUUGAAUAUAGGUUUACAGUUGUGAGCACAUAAAAUACAGAGUUAAUAAAGCUAUUGUA